This 419-nucleotide ribosomal RNA is filed under the name Acetobacteraceae bacterium SB22. Its description in RNAcentral is "bacterial SSU rRNA". It matches the Rfam family "Bacterial small subunit ribosomal RNA", at positions 957 to 1370 of the family's 1533-position model. The record is from RNAcentral. Lineage: Bacteria; Pseudomonadati; Pseudomonadota; Alphaproteobacteria; Acetobacterales; Acetobacteraceae.
UAACGCGAAAGAAACUUACCAGGACUUGACAUGGGGAGGCUGUGUCCAGAGAUGGGCAUUUCCCGCAAGGGACCUCCUGCACAGGUGCUGCAUGGCUGUCGUCAGCUCGUGUCGUGAGAUGUUGGGUUAAGUCCCGCAACGAGCGCAACCCUCGCCUUUAGUUGCCAGCAUGUUUGGGUGGGCACUCUAGAGGAACUGCCGGUGACAAGCCGGAGGAAGGUGGGGAUGACGUCAAGUCCUCAUGGCCCUUAUGUCCUGGGCUACACACGUGCUACAAUGGCGGUGACAGUGGGAAGCUAUGUGGCGACACAAUGCUGAUCUCUAAAAGCCGUCUCAGUUCGGAUUGCACUCUGCAACUCGAGUGCAUGAAGGUGGAAUCGCUAGUAAUCGCGGAUCAGCAUGCCGCGGGAAUAUGACGU